GCUCUCUUGCAUAUGCUUGCUCUCCCUUCUGCUCUUUUGCCACGGGAUAUUGCAGCAUGAAAGCUCUCACCAGAUAUAAGCACCGUGCUUUUGGAAUUCUCAGCCCCCAAAAUGGAGUCUCCUAUUAACUUAAUGGAACCCUGCAGCUGUGAAGAAUACUGGGGAGUCUUGGCAACAUCACCAGCACAGCAGCCUUGGCUAACUUCCUGAAUUAGGCCUUUUCUUUGCAGUGCUAUAAUAAAACCAUGGUGCUGAUUUAUGAUGAACGUGGAGAUGUACCACCUAGAUUUCUCUUCAAGGAAGGACUUGUUUCCUCUGCUGAUGGAAUUCCUGUCAACAGAGACCUUUCAGGUGCCAGUGACUUGGAGAAGGCCUGAGCUGUAGAGCAACAUCACCUAAGGUCACGCCCUACGUGAGUCAGCAGAAUCCACUGACUGAUGGAGAUUAUAAAGACUUAGCCAUUUUGUCUCAAUGAGGUGUACCUACAAUGGGUCAUAUGAGCUCCACAGCUCCCUGUGGAGUCAGCUCAGACUGUUGUUGACUUACAUUGUACCUCAACUUCUCUCUCUGCCAAAUCUAGCUCCCUUUACCUCACAAUCAUAGGCGUUCAUCCCAAAGACAUCCCUUAAUAUAAAUAAUGCACAAUAUACUCUAUAUGUUAAUCUGUUCCACAUUAAUUUUUUUAUGUAAAUCUGUGUGUGUGUGUGUGUGUGUGUGUGUGUGUGUGUGUGUGUGUGUGGCAGAAAAGCAUAAAAAUCAUCCCUCUAAACUUUUAUUUAUA
Molecule: long non-coding RNA, 781 nt
Filed under: Homo sapiens (human)
Lineage: Eukaryota; Metazoa; Chordata; Mammalia; Primates; Hominidae
Description: non-protein coding lnc-DTWD2-5:5
Source: RNAcentral